UGGUUGACCAAUUCGUUCCAGAAACGAAUGUGUCAUGAGAAUCCUCUCAAAAAACCUAUGAAAAACGUUCUGUGACUAGAUCGUAAUGAAAUAAACUUCGGUAACACUCUAUGAGUAACUCCAAGCAACUUUCACCUAAGAUCAAAAUCACAGCAUAAUCGUUUUUUGUAAAACCCGCAGAAACAACCUUAUGUAUACAUAUCACCGAAUUACAUAUCACAGCAGAAUCGUUUCUACUUUGACAUAUGUAUACAUAUCACCGACUUACAACCUUCGUAAAACCGGUCUCCAUUACUUACGCGAAAAAUCCUUCGUACAAUCAGACUAAGUCUUACGAAGAAACUUUCUAAAGUUAACAUAACAGGCUUUAUGAAUAAGUAUGUUUUGUAUAGCAAACGCAAACCUCUCUGCGGCUCGCUGGCUUCUGCCUUUCUUUUCCCUCGGUCACAUCCGAGAAGGCAGUCAUCCCGCCGCUGACUCCACACUGGUUAUGUAGCAAACCUCUUGGGCUUCGUCUUCCUCAGACAAAAAAAAUCGAUUUUCAAAAGACUAUAGGUCACAUUAUAUGAAAUAUUCAUCAUAUAACUUAAACCUAGAGCAGAGAAUCGUUUUCUACGACUAUCGGCCAUAUUAGCAUGGAUAACCCCAGCAAACUUGGCCUAUCAAUCUCGACAAGCGCUCUUUGGCCCUCGAUCAAUUAAACCAAUAUUUGCCAUCCCCCUUAAGGACGAUCGUAAACUAACAUGAGCUUAAAUGUUAAACUACCAUGGUCUAAUCCUUGACCUAUAACAUCCUUGGCUAUCUGAGUGAACACAUCCUUCACGCCAAGCCAAACUACUUGAGAAACCAUCUCUCCAUCACUUAACGGCUAAAAGACAAUCUACGAUUUUUCUAAAAACAUCGUGUGACUAUUAAGAGAAUAUUGCCCACAGUCGGAAAUCAUAUGAUAAAUUCUUCGUAACGAAACUCAGUCCUAACAACCAAACGGCUAACAGAAAACCUAAACUUUUCAAAAAUUGACUAAGUUCAAUACGCUCCACAAUUUCCUUAAGUCCGCAACGUUUUACCCAUAAUACGGAGCAUGUAAGGAAAAAUUCGUAACAAAGCUUCUAGAGCUAUACAAAACAUCCU
Molecule: long non-coding RNA, 1131 nt
Organism: Brassica rapa (field mustard)
Lineage: Eukaryota; Viridiplantae; Streptophyta; Magnoliopsida; Brassicales; Brassicaceae
Source: RefSeq, a predicted model, not a curated record